CGGCCGCUGAAAUAUUUGUUCACAGUGUCCUACUUACUACUUAAGUGAUAAAGAAAUGAUGUGUGCACGGCCUUGUCUUGUGUUUCAACACAUAACAAACAUACAUCUGUAUGACAGCUAUUUUAUUUAAACAAAGUUUUGAUGGAAAUGGUCCAAAUGAUAAGUCAUAUCUGAGACAUAUUUUGUAACAAUAAAGCCUUGAAAAUGUUAAGCACAUUUAUUUUAUGAUUUGCAGUAAAAUUAUAACUUUCUUAGAACAUAUUAAUCUGAUAACCAACAACAAAAAAUUAUAUUAGUACUGCGUCAUGACGAACACAACAUGAAUUAUAAUAUAAUAUGAAUUAAAUUAUAAAAGGUUACUUUAAGUAAUACAAAACCCAAAAAGAAUUUUCUGUUAAUAUAUUACGUCUAAUGUAUAUAGGGUAAAUAAGGUAUAGGAGUUCCCCACGGUCACUAAGCAUUAAGGAUAAUGGUAACGUGCAGCAUGCUCACAACUAUUGUUUUGCCACAUAUGUGUGUAGCUCACGUUGUUGUGUAGGUAACAUUAAUUGAAUGUUAAUUGAACCCAAUUUGUAAGCUAUCAACCAAUAUAAUUCAACUAACUACCUGCUCCCAACCAUGUCCCAAUAAGGCAAUUAGUACAUUUUAUUGGGCCAACCAAAAUUAUAUAAUAAAUAAAUCCAACCCAGAGUUAGUAAGAAAAACAUAGAGAAGUGAAUGUAACUACAUACUGUGCAAAGGAAGCUGGCAUUAUCCCCUCAUGUUAUACAGAAGAAAGGACAGAAGACUUGUCACCUGGAAACCACAAAACUUGAGAUCCAACAUGAUGGGGCACUACGCACCAGCACUACACUCUACACGCAGGCACGCAACACUCACAGCCUGUGAACUGAGCAUUACCAAUACUCAAACAUCAUUUUUUAUCAAUUGUAUGUAUUUGAUGGUACACUGAUCCUUUUGAAAAUGCACAAUAACUCUAAAGUUAAUUCUCAAUUCACAGUACACAUAAAUGUUUGAAAAGACAAUAUUUUAGCAUACUUUUGCUCACAAAAAAUUUUUUUUUUCUUUGUAAUAAGAAAACCCAUGUAAGUUUAAUAUAAUGCUAAUUUGUAGGGUCACUGGGUCAUCUUUAAUGACUACAUAGGAAAAGACAUUAGUAUAAUAAGGCCAGACUGUAUUUUAAAUUAAGAAAUGAUCAAAGCACAUAAUAAACUGAACAAGAGCAAAA
Molecule: long non-coding RNA, 1228 nt
Organism: Helicoverpa zea (corn earworm)
Lineage: Eukaryota; Metazoa; Arthropoda; Insecta; Lepidoptera; Noctuidae
Exons: 2
Source: RefSeq, a predicted model, not a curated record